AGUACUGGUACCUCCGAGCGAUUUACCAGUUGGCCAGGGGCAACGCCGAUUCUUCAUGCUGAGACAUGCUCGUGGUUGUGGCUCGACCUCGUAACCCCAAUUGUUGUAUUCGAUAGACGAUUCGCCAAGACUGAGCCAGCGGAACCAGCGCCGACAACGAUAAAGUCAUAGGGCUCUUUGCUUGGCUCGUUAACGAUCGCACUGUUGCCUGUUGAGAAGAGGUUGUUGAAGAAUGAUGACUGGGCCUGAUUAGGUGUUGGUACGAACAGCAGUAGAACUGUGGUUACUAGUGAUGCUGUAAUGGUUCGUCGCAUUUUAGAGGCUGAAAUUUUUUUAACGAAGGUUAGUUGAAUUACAUUACAUACUGUGCAUUUGUUGCUUACUUUAAUUGAAAACAAAUCCAUACAGAUUAACAUUCAUAUAAGAAUAUUUAAAUUAAAUCACGCGAUCAGAACUAAAAAUUUUGAAGAAAAAAAAUGUUGAACUCUGACCUACUUUGACUUCCUCUUUCUUUCGGUAAAUAAAAAUAAUAAUGAUUGCGGAUUUCCCAAUGCGACGGUAUGAUGUUUUAAGGAAAUCGUUUCUUCCUGUUUUCGUUUACAAAAUCAUCAUGCAUUUUGUUUGACCUUAUUACUUACAAACCAAAGUGCAAUCAAAACGCAUUUUGUAAAUAGUUACACUCAAAUAAAUUUUUAAAAUAAAAAAUAAACUUAAUAAAAGAAUAAAAUUAAUUCAUAUCAUAUUGCAAAAAAAGGGGUAAAUAAUGACUUGAAAUUAAUACGUAUACAGCUUGUAAACUCAUGUGAUCUCUUUCAGUGCAAUUAUUCAGGAAUUUAUCGCUUUGCUGUAUAAUAUUCUAAUUUAAUUACAAGUGGCAAUUAUUUGUUAUUAGCUUUUUCACUAUCAAGCAGAAGCUCUGUAGCAGCCCGGACGAAUAUCUUUUUUUUUUAUUAAUUAGUCUUUGCACAAUAAGUAUUUGUCUGUAAUAGAUUU
Molecule: long non-coding RNA, 993 nt
Organism: Nasonia vitripennis (jewel wasp)
Lineage: Eukaryota; Metazoa; Arthropoda; Insecta; Hymenoptera; Pteromalidae
Exons: 2
Source: RefSeq, a predicted model, not a curated record